Non-coding RNA from Triticum urartu, 143 nucleotides. The record is from Rfam. Lineage: Eukaryota; Viridiplantae; Streptophyta; Magnoliopsida; Poales; Poaceae.
CAUGUACUCCCUCCGUUCCAUAAUACAUGACCUCCAUUUGUCAGAAUAUAUAUGUAUCUAGACAUGUUUUAGUAUAUAGGUACACCGUACAUCCAUUUUUGGACAAAUGGAAGUCAAGUAUUUUGGAACGGAGGGAGUAGCUU